Molecule: non-coding RNA, 2607 nt
Organism: Callithrix jacchus (white-tufted-ear marmoset)
Lineage: Eukaryota; Metazoa; Chordata; Mammalia; Primates; Cebidae
Source: RefSeq, a predicted model, not a curated record
AGGGUAGAGAGUUAGCAGGGCAGUUCUGAGCCACUGGGAACACAGGAUGUGGAAGCAGAUGUGGCCAAGGGAUUACCCGACUGUAACUUCAGCACAGGAUCCUUCCAUGACACCAGGCUGCCCCUAAGAACAAAGUCAUGUUCAAACUGGGGAGUGUGAGAUAAGAGAUGGGGAAGAGGGAUAGAGGUGAGUCAGAAUCUGUUUUCCUCCAUUUCUUGACCACCUUAGAAACCACCUCUCUCACCUACCCCAUGCCAUGUUUCAUGUCUCAGUGACCCUCUUGUGUUUGAACCCAAACCUGCCUCUUAAAGUGGAAGGGAAACAGCAUGUCCUGGUACAGGGUAAUUGAUCAGAACAGCAAAAGUGCCUUAGGUUGCUCAAAGGCACAGUCCUGUCCUGUCUUGGUCCUCUUUGUAUUUCCCUAUAGGCUCUAACUAAGGGACACCCAACUGCUUGGCCCAGAAGUCAUGCCUACUACCUCUGAUGACUCUAGCACCUCUGCUUCCAGCAACCCCACCUGCCCCCAGCCUCUGUGACAGUGACCCUCUCCCUUUGUACAUACUUGCACACAGGUUCCCCAUGUACAUACAUACACAUACUCACACACACAUACAUACACAUUUAUACACAGAGGACUCUGGAGCCAAAGUAGAGGCUGUGGCCCAGGCACUACCUGCUGGCUCCCACCUAUGGUUUGGGGGCCAUACCUGUUCCAGCUCUGUUCCCAGAGUGGGGAAGGGAGGUGGGGGUGGGGGAGUAGUGGGGCACAGCUCCUGAGAUCCAGCCCCCAGACUGACAGAUGGACAGACAGACAUGCAGACACCAGACUGAAGCACAUGUAAUAUAGACCGUGUAUGUUUAUAAUGUUGUGUAUAAAUGGGACAACUCCCAGCCCUUACCUAUCCCCUCCCUCUUUGGUUGUAUGAGUUCCUUCUUUUUUUAAGAACCCCUGGAAGCAGUGCCUCCUUCAGGGUUGGCUGGGGGCUCGGCUCAUCCACCUCUGGGAUACCUGCCUCUCCCUCUCCUGUGGUGUCCCUUCCCUCUCCCAUGUGCUUGGUAUUCAGUGGUAUAUAUUUCUUCUCCCAGACAUGGGGCACAUGCCCCAAGGGACAUGAACCUGUCCUUAGUCUUAGCUCAUGGGGCUCUUUAUAAGGAGUUGAGGGUUAGAGGCAGGAAACGGGAACCAAGCUGAAGCAGAGGCUGAGAUGGGGGACUGGAGGACAGUGCUCCUGGCCUCCCAGCCUCUGCUGAGAACCAUUCCUGGGAUUAGAGCUGCCCUUCCCAGGGAAAAAAGUGUCUCCCCGACCCUCCCGUGGGCCCUAUGGUAUGAUGCUGUGUCUGUAUAUUCUAUACAAAGGUACUUGUCCUUUUCCUUUGUAAACUACAUUUGACAUGGAUUAAACCAGUAUAAACAGUUAAAAAAAGAGAGAGAGAGAUCUGAGCUGUCAGCAGAAGCAGCUGGAGGCCAGGGGAGGAAUCUCGGGAAGGAAAGACCUUUGCCAUGGCUGAACACUUCAGACAAGUAAUUAGAUGUCCUGUCUGUCUAAAUGAUCUUGAAGAACUGGUGCAACUGAAAUGUGGAUAUGCCUGCUGCCUCCAAUUCGUCAAUUCUCUGCAGAAGGAGCCCCAUGGGAAAAGUGUACUAUGCCCCUUACACAUUGUGGCCUCUCAGAAGAAUGACAUCAAGCCCAAGUACAAGCUGAGGGCACUGAUUUCCAUCAUCAAGGAACUAGAGCCCAAGCUGAAAUCUAUUCUAAGGAUGAACCCAAGGAUGAAGAAGUUUCAAGUGGAUAUGAUCUUGGAUGUGGACAUAGCCAGCAACUAGCUUACCAUUUCUGAAGACCCGAAGAGCAUCCAAUGUGGGGAUUUCAGACAGAACAGGAAAGAGCAGGCUGAAAGGUUCAGCUCCGCACUGUGCGUUCUGAGGACCUCUCACUUCACUUCCGGCCACCACUACUGGGAAGUAGAUGUGGGCACCAGCAAAAUAUGGGAUGUGGGCAUUUGUAAGGAAUCUGUGAAUUGACAGGGGGAUGUUGUACUUUCUUCAGAAGUUGGCUUCUGGACUGUGGGUUCCAGAAAAGGACAGAUCUUUGCCGCCAGCACUAUGCCUUUGACUUUUCUCUGGGUGAGUCCCCAGUUGCACAGAGUGGGGAUUUACCUGGAGGUAGGUAUGAGGUCAAUUUCCUUUUAUAAUGUUAGUGAUGGGUGCCAUAUCUACACAUUCAAUGACAUUCCUGUUAUCGAGCCACUGUGUCCAUUUUUUUCUCAUAAACGUGAAACUCAAGAUGAUCAGAGCUUCCUGAGUAUCUUUCCUGUGAUCAAUCCAGACAGUGCCAGUCCCCCAGUUUAUUCUGAGGAAAGCAAAUAAACAUUUGAACAUAAUCAUCGAUAGCAAGUUUCUGUGUGCCCGUAGCCAGAGCUAAGAACAUUUCUGCUAGAUACACAUAGGUACCAAGGGAUGGAAGGGAAACGUCAGUCACUUUGUAAACCACGAACAGAAAGCAAUUAUAUUAAUUAGGGGAAAACUAUAUUUUAUGUAUAACGUUUGUCAUAUUUUCUUUGGGGCUUGUGUUUAUUCUUUUGUUCAAUAAAUAUUUUGAAAUUUCA